RNAcentral lists this transfer RNA (92 nucleotides) under Candidatus Nomurabacteria bacterium GWB1_40_6. RNAcentral describes it as "tRNA-Ser". It matches the Rfam family "tRNA". Rfam says of the family: Transfer RNA (tRNA) molecules are approximately 80 nucleotides in length. Their secondary structure includes four short double-helical elements and three loops (D, anti-codon, and T loops). Further hydrogen bonds mediate the characteristic L-shaped molecular structure. tRNAs have two regions of fundamental functional importance: the anti-codon, which is responsible for specific mRNA codon recognition, and the 3' end, to which the tRNAs corresponding amino acid is attached (by aminoacyl-tRNA synthetases). tRNAs cope with the degeneracy of the genetic code in two manners: having more than one tRNA (with a specific anti-codon) for a particular amino acid; and 'wobble' base-pairing, i.e. permitting non-standard base-pairing at the 3rd anti-codon position. Lineage: Bacteria; Candidatus Nomuraibacteriota. The record is from RNAcentral.
GGAGCCGUGUCUGAGUGGUCGAAGGUACAUCUUUGCUAAAGAUGCAGGGGCUUUAAAACCCCUCGAGGGUUCGAAUCCCUCCGGCUCCGCAA